AAUGGCCGCAGUACUUUAACUGUGCAAAGGUAGCAUAAUAAUUUGUUUUUUAAUUGGAAACUUGUAUGAAUGGUCAUACGAGGGAUUGACUUUCUUUAUCUUAUAUUAAUUAAUUUUAUUUCUCUGUGAAAAAGCAGAGAUGUAUUUAUUAGACGAUAAGACCCUUUAAAACUUUAUUUAUUAUAAAAGCAUGAGUUUUUAGUUGUUUUUUUGUGCUAUUUUUAGUGAAUUUUGUUGGGGCGACAGGUAAAUUUAUUGAACUUUACUUUUUUAUAUCACAAAUUAGUGUUUGUUUGAUCCAGGUUUAUGUUCUGAUUAAAAGCUUAAGUUACUU
This 334-nucleotide ribosomal RNA is filed under the name Cimex hemipterus. Its description in RNAcentral is "partial large subunit ribosomal RNA". The stretch from base 1 to 139 matches the Rfam family "Archaeal large subunit ribosomal RNA", at positions 2003 to 2143 of the family's 2987-position model. Lineage: Eukaryota; Metazoa; Arthropoda; Insecta; Hemiptera; Cimicidae. The record is from RNAcentral.